RNAcentral lists this microRNA precursor (237 nucleotides) under Citrus sinensis (sweet orange). Its description in RNAcentral is "miR3954b stem-loop (csi-MIR3954b)". Lineage: Eukaryota; Viridiplantae; Streptophyta; Magnoliopsida; Sapindales; Rutaceae. The record is from miRBase by way of RNAcentral.
UAUUAUUUUGCUUUGGUUUGGUCUGUUUACAAAGUGAGAAAAUCACUUUCGUUGUUCGUUGUUAGAAAAAAAUAUGAUCAAUUAUAUUUGUUUGGACAGAGAAAUCACGGUCAUGAGAUGAGUUUUCUAAUCUGUACUGUAAUCUGUAUACGGUGAUGGUGAAUAUUGACGAUGGAUUCUCUUUCUACCGUGUUUCUCUGCCCAAUCAGAUAUAUUUGAUCUUCAUUCCAUUUCUGU